AUUUAGUGAUUGCUGCGGGAAGGAUCUGUUGUUCCUGCAGUGAAGAAGCACUGCUGAUGUGUGACAUUCACAGAAAUCCCACAGGAAACAGACAGGAAGAAGCAAGUCCCAUCUCCCUCCUCCAGCCUUGCAGCUGCCUGACUGUGCUUAUGAGCAGAGCCUUACCUUGAGGCAACAAGUAAAGCAGAGACGUGGAGUGAAGAACCCCAGCUCUAACCUCAGACAGCAGAGAAUAGAAGCUGUAUGAGUUUUCCAAGGAUGUCUGGAAAUAAUGCACAGAAUCAGUGUGCCAUUGUUUACCUGAGACUUCAUUAACGAGCACAGAUGGCACCUCCUCUCAGAAGACUUCCUAUUAAACAGAAUUCCUCAGCUGUGAUCUGAAAGCUUUUUCAUUUGUGUCUCCUUCAAUGGUGAAUGAUCUCAACCUAUCUGAAAUUGGUGUGAGAUGAGUCAAGACACAUUUAUUGUUCUAUAUGGACGUCCAAUCGACCUAGAAGCACUUACUGAAAAGGCUAUCCUUUCCUACUACACUUUUGUGACAUCUUUGUAAAAAUCAAGGAUGGAUGGAUGGAUGGAUGGAUGGUGGAUAGACAGACAGAUGGAUGGAUAAAUAGGUAUAGAUAUAGACAUAGAUAUAGAUAUACGUGUACAUGUAUAUACAGAUAGAUACAGACUGUUCCUGAAUUCUCUAUUCUAUUCCAUUGCUCCAAAUAUUACAUUAUCUUAAUCAUUGAGCUUUAUUAUAAUUCUUGAUCUGUGGUAGUGUGUAAAUCCUCUAAGUUUGUUCCUCUUCUUCAGGAUCAUUUCGAAUUUUCUUGGCCUUUUGCAUUUCCAUAUAAAUUUUAGAAUCAGCCUAUCAAUUUCCAUAAACACACAGUGGUAAUUGCUGGGGUUUUAAGUAGGAUUACAUUGAAUUUAUAGUAUAAUUUGAAGAGAAUCACCUUUACAAUAUCAAGUCACCCAAUUCAAAAAUGUGGUAUGCCUCUCUAUUUAUUUGGACUAUCUUUAAAUUAAGUCAAGGAUAUUUCUUAUUUUUGUAGAGUGGUCUUUCACAUUAUUUAUUACAUUUAUUCCUAAUUAUUUG
RNAcentral lists this long non-coding RNA (1084 nucleotides) under Equus caballus (horse). RNAcentral's name for it is "lncRNA (ENSECAG00000052486.1)". Lineage: Eukaryota; Metazoa; Chordata; Mammalia; Perissodactyla; Equidae. The record is from RNAcentral.